This 807-nucleotide ribosomal RNA is filed under the name Agrococcus sp. RNAcentral describes it as "bacterial SSU rRNA". It matches the Rfam family "Bacterial small subunit ribosomal RNA", at positions 67 to 883 of the family's 1533-position model. Lineage: Bacteria; Bacillati; Actinomycetota; Actinomycetes; Micrococcales; Microbacteriaceae. The record is from RNAcentral.
CGAUGAAGGAGGAGCUUGCUCCUCUGGAUUAGUGGCGAACGGGUGAGUAACACGUGAGCAAUGUGCCCUUGACUCUGGAAUAAGCGCUGGAAACGGCGUCUAAUACCGGAUACGACCUUCGGAGGCAUCUCCUGUUGGUGGAAAGAACUUCGGUCAAGGAUCAGCUCACGGCCUAUCAGCUUGUUGGUGAGGUAACGGCUCACCAAGGCGACGACGGGUAGCCGGCCUGAGAGGGUGACCGGCCACACUGGGACUGAGACACGGCCCAGACUCCUACGGGAGGCAGCAGUGGGGAAUAUUGCACAAUGGGCGCAAGCCUGAUGCAGCAACGCCGCGUGAGGGACGACGGCCUUCGGGUUGUAAACCUCUUUUAGCAGGGAAGAAGCGAAAGUGACGGUACCUGCAGAAAAAGCACCGGCUAACUACGUGCCAGCAGCCGCGGUAAUACGUAGGGUGCAAGCGUUGUCCGGAAUUAUUGGGCGUAAAGAGCUCGUAGGCGGUUUGUCGCGUCUGCUGUGAAAUCCCGAGGCUCAACCUCGGGCUUGCAGUGGGUACGGGCAGGCUAGAGUGCGGUAGGGGAGAUUGGAAUUCCUGGUGUAGCGGUGGAAUGCGCAGAUAUCAGGAGGAACACCGAUGGCGAAGGCAGAUCUCUGGGCCGUAACUGACGCUGAGGAGCGAAAGCAUGGGGAGCAAACAGGCUUAGAUACCCUGGUAGUCCAUGCCGUAAACGUUGGGAACUAGAUGUGGGGACCAUUCCACGGUCUCCGUGUCGUAGCUAACGCAUUAAGUUCCCCGCCUGGGGAGUAC